AACGAACGCUGGCGGCAUGCCUAACACAUGCAAGUCGAACGAGACCUUCGGGUCUAGUGGCGCACGGGUGCGUAACGCGUGGGAACCUGCCCUUAGGUUCGGAAUAACUCCCCGAAAGGGGUGCUAAUACCGGAUAAUGUCUUCGGACCAAAGAUUUAUCGCCUUUGGAUGGGCCCGCGUUGGAUUAGCUAGUUGGUAGGGUAAAAGCCUACCAAGGCGACGAUCCAUAGCUGGUCUGAGAGGAUGAUCAGCCACACUGGGACUGAGACACGGCCCAGACUCCUACGCGAGGCAGCAGUGGGGAAUAUUGGACAAUGGGCGAAAGCCUGAUCCAGCAAUGCCGCGUGAGUGAUGAAGGCCUUAGGGUUGUAAAGCUCUUUUACCCGGGAUGAUAAUGACAGUACCGGGAGAAUAAGCUCCGGCUAACUCCGUG
Molecule: ribosomal RNA, 433 nt
Filed under: uncultured bacterium
Lineage: Bacteria
Description: partial 16S ribosomal RNA
Rfam family: Bacterial small subunit ribosomal RNA
Source: RNAcentral